Homo sapiens (human) is the source of this 530-nucleotide long non-coding RNA. NCBI's taxonomy places the organism in Eukaryota, Metazoa, Chordata, Mammalia, Primates, Hominidae. The record is from Ensembl.
GUUUUUGAGUUUCAGUGGAAGACUCUGACGUUUCAAAUACCAAGGCUCUUUACGUUGUUGGGACCCAAUUUGUUCUCCUCUACGGUCACUAAAAAUAUAAUGGCUCUACAAUUAACUACAAGGAAGUAUGUUGCAAGGUAGUCCAAGUGCACACACUGCAAGGCAGAGAUACAAACAUCACAUCCAGCAAGCAAAUAAGAGUGUAUCUGUGCCUGAAACAAGGAUACUAAGGUCAUCCACAACAGUGGUGUCUAAUGGGGUAAGCUAAUAUGAAAGAGUGAAGCAGCAUCAACAGUGAGUAAAACAGAGUGACUGCAACAUGUUCUUCAUUUUUGUCACUGCUUUUUAAUACAUUACUUCAGAUUUCAAUGUAAAGUUUUGAAUAAAAGGAAUCAUUAUAUACAUGUUUUAUUUGUUUUUGAAACAGAUGUUCUCUCUUUUUGAAGAAUAAAUCACAUUUUAUUUCCCUCCAGCUUUAUUGAAAUAUAAUUGACAAACAAAAUUAAAUAAAUCUAAAGUGUGUAAUAUAA